GCCCCUGUAGCUCAGUUGGAUAGAGCAACGGUUUUCUAAUCCGCAGGACGUAGGUUCGAUUCCUACCGGGGGCGCCA
This 77-nucleotide transfer RNA is filed under the name Deltaproteobacteria bacterium. RNAcentral's name for it is "tRNA-Arg". It matches the Rfam family "tRNA". From Rfam's summary of the family: Transfer RNA (tRNA) molecules are approximately 80 nucleotides in length. Lineage: Bacteria; Pseudomonadati; Myxococcota; Myxococcia. The record is from RNAcentral.